GUAAAUAUAGUUUAAAGAAAAUACUAGAUUGUGAUUCUAGGGACAGAGGUUGAAGUCCUCUUAUUCACC
This 69-nucleotide transfer RNA is filed under the name Prototroctes maraena (Australian grayling). RNAcentral describes it as "tRNA-His". It matches the Rfam family "tRNA". Rfam says of the family: Transfer RNA (tRNA) molecules are approximately 80 nucleotides in length. Lineage: Eukaryota; Metazoa; Chordata; Actinopteri; Osmeriformes; Retropinnidae. The record is from RNAcentral.